UACAGAGGGUGCAAGCGUUGCUCGGAUUUACUGGGCGUAAAGCGUACGCAGACGGUGAGAAAGGUCGGAUGUGAAAGCCCCGGGCUCAACCCGGGAACUGCAUCCGAAACCAUCUCGCUCGAGUGUGGGAGAGGGAAGCGGAAUUCCUGGUGUAGAGGUGAAAUUCGUAGAUAUCAGGAGGAACACCGGCGGCGAAGGCGGCUUCCUGGCCCAUUACUGACGUUCAGGUACGAAAGCGUGGGUAGCAAACAGGAUUAGAAACCCCCGUAGUCC
RNAcentral lists this ribosomal RNA (273 nucleotides) under uncultured bacterium. RNAcentral's name for it is "partial 16S ribosomal RNA". It matches the Rfam family "Bacterial small subunit ribosomal RNA", at positions 524 to 796 of the family's 1533-position model. The record is from RNAcentral.